RNAcentral lists this unclassified non-coding RNA (226 nucleotides) under Hevea brasiliensis (rubber tree). Lineage: Eukaryota; Viridiplantae; Streptophyta; Magnoliopsida; Malpighiales; Euphorbiaceae. The record is from RNAcentral.
CGCAACAGUUGUCUGUCGACAUUGAGUAUCUGACAAAUGUGCUCUCUGCCCUAUCAAUGCAAACUCCUCCAGCUCUCGCCACAUUCCUUACUUGCUUUUCAACUCCAAGAGACCAACUUAAAGAUCUUCUCAAAUCUGAUUCUGGAAAGGAGCUUGAUCUUCCAACAGCGAACCUUGUAUGUAAGAUGCGGCGUGUCAACUUAGAGUAGUAAUUUUUUUGACCCAG